RNAcentral lists this ribosomal RNA (429 nucleotides) under Gemmatimonadota bacterium. RNAcentral describes it as "Gemmatimonadetes bacterium partial 16S ribosomal RNA". It matches the Rfam family "Bacterial small subunit ribosomal RNA", at positions 355 to 776 of the family's 1533-position model. Lineage: Bacteria; Pseudomonadati; Gemmatimonadota. The record is from RNAcentral.
UAGGGAAUCUUCGGCAAUGGACGAAAGUCUGACCGAGCAACGCCGCGUGAGUGAAGAAGGUUUUCGGAUCGUAAAACUCUGUUGUUAGAGAAGAACAAGGACGUUAGUAACUGAACGUCCCCUGACGGUAUCUAACCAGAAAGCCACGGCUAACUACGUGCCAGCAGCCGCGGUAAUACGUAGGUGGCAAGCGUUGUCCGGAUUUAUUGGGCGUAAAGCGAGCGCAGGCGGUUUCUUAAGUCUGAUGUGAAAGCCCCCGGCUCAACCUGGGAGGGUCAUUGGAAACUGGGAGACUGGAGUGCAGAAGAGGAGAGUGGAAUUCCAUGUGUAGCGGUGAAAUGCGUAGAUAUAUGGAGGAACACCAGUGGCGAAGGCGGCUCUCUGGUCUGUAACUGACGCUGAGGCUCGAAAGCGUGGGGAGCAAACAGG